GAAUGAGUUGCAAUUGGAAAUGAACCCGUGUAAAUGCAGAUGUGGACAUCAAAAUGCAGAUGAACACUGGGGUUAUUAAGCUUUCUCUUGUAACUACUAACGUAAAAAGUGCCUGAUAUUCAUUACAUGAUUAGAGACCCUUCUUCAAAUUUGAUCUAUAAUUCUACAAUAAUUAAUUUCUCCUUUUUAUUUAGUUAGUACCAAAUCUUAUAUGGUGCUUGUCUCAAUUCAUUUUUAAUUUUGAAUAUUGAAUUACAUGUUUAUGUUUGUUUGUUAGCAAUGGAUCUGGUUAUGAUUUUGGGGAGCUAGAAGAAGCAAUAGGCAAGGAGAUAAGUGUAGAAAUGAUGAGAAAAAAAGCAUGUACCAAGCCAUGCAAUCAGACCAAACUACAAAUAGAAAUUGUGCAAUGCAGUUUCCAGAAAAGCAUAAUCAUCAAGAAGAGAUAGCUGACAGAUUGAAUGUGAAAUAAAGAAGCUUGUUGAUGAACCAAUUUUAUUCUCUGAAAAUGGUGGGGAUUGAGAAGGAAGUGAAGAAAGAAAGAAAGAAAUGGGAGCUGUGGAUUUGGCAGUGAUCAAAGCAAAACUACUUUUAUUUAUAGAAAAUGUUGAAGUGAAGAAAAGAAGCUUGGAAAAGGGGAUUGUGUCUCGCACAAUCUAUUUAAUUUUUUAUUUUAAAAUUGAAAAGUGGUUUUCUAAGUAGUUGCCUUUUUGACUUUUAGCCCUCUUGUGUUGUUUAUAAAAUGAUGAAAUCCUUUAGUUUUAGGCUUUUUCUGAUUGCAAUCCCAUGUUUCUAAAA
This is a long non-coding RNA of Medicago truncatula (barrel medic), 795 nucleotides long. RefSeq lists it as uncharacterized. Lineage: Eukaryota; Viridiplantae; Streptophyta; Magnoliopsida; Fabales; Fabaceae. The transcript is spliced from 3 exons. The record is from RefSeq and is a predicted model, not a curated record.